Molecule: RNA transcript, 1699 nt
Organism: Leptopilina heterotoma
Lineage: Eukaryota; Metazoa; Arthropoda; Insecta; Hymenoptera; Figitidae
Gene: nmdyn-D7
Gene name: nucleoside diphosphate kinase 7
Exons: 11
Source: RefSeq, a predicted model, not a curated record
UAGCAACAAAGUAGUUUACAAACUGGACCACAGGACAGUAGUUAACCUUUUUUAUUGUUUUUUUUAUUUUUAAUUGUUCAAUAAUUAUUCUGCAAAAUAAAAAUAGAAACAUCUUUAGACUUCAUAUUUAAGAUACAUAAAUUUAUACAUUGUAAAUUUAUUAGCAAUUCAUUUCCUUGGUAAUAAAAAUGUCAACAGAUUCUGAAAGAUAUGUUUUUGAAGCGGAAUGGCACGAUAAAAUGGCUUGCAUUACUAGAAAAUUUUUAUUAUAUUAUUAUCUCACAGAUAAUUCCGUAGAACUGUUCGAUGUAAAAACAAGGAAAACCUUUUUAAGAAGAACAAAAUGCGAGGGAGUUGAUGAAUCAAAUUUUUACGUCGGUGCAGUUGUCACUAUUUUUGCACGAAGUAUGAAAUUGAUUAGUUUUGCCGAUUUUUCUACGAAAACAAGAGUGUCACAGAAAAUUCAAAAGACACUUGGAAUUAUAAUGCCGGAUCUUCACGACAAAAUUGGAGAAAUGUUAAAACGAAUAUUAGCUGAAAAUUUUAAAAUCGGAAAUUUAAAAAUGGUUCAUUUAUCAAGAGAAGAUGCGAUGGAUUUUUUCAGGGAAAAGGGAGAUAAUUCAGCAUUGAUGUUAAAUCGCAUAACUUCGGGACCAAUUUUAGCUCUAGAACUUUUAGGACAGGAUUGUAUUUCCCGAUGGCUGGAGCAAAUAGCACCAAAUGAAAUUUCCGAAGUCGGAGAAAAAGAUUCUUCAACUUUAAGAGUUUUUUAUGAAAAAGAAGCUGGCGAGAAUGCAUUUUACGGUUCUUCUAAUGAAACAGCAGAACAGGAUGUAAAAUUUUUCUUUCCCGAUCCAAUGAGCGAAAAACGAGAAUUGCCAAAUACAGCAACAAUCACAGAUUGUACUUGUUGCAUUAUUAAACCUCACGCUGUGACAUCGAAACUUGCUGGCGAUAUAAUUGACGAUAUACAAAAGAAAGGAUUUCUUAUCACCGCGAUGCAACUUUUUCACGUGGAUCCAGUGAAUGUCGAAGAGUUUCUUGAAGUUUAUAAAGGAGUUCUUCCUGAUUAUGGGGCAAUGGUUGCGGAAUUACAAUCGGGACCUUGCAUUGCAAUGGAGAUAAAACGUAAAGACGAGAGUGUUAAUGUUCCAGUGGAAUUCAGAAAAUUCUGCGGUCCCAUGGAUCCAGAAAUCGCUAAACACGUCAGACCCGACACAUUACGUGCCAAAUAUGGAAAAACAAAGGUUCAAAACGCCGUUCAUUGCUCAGAUUUACCAGAAGAUGGAAUUUUAGAGGUGCAGUAUUUUUUCAAGAUCCUUAGCGAAUCUUGAAGAAAGGAGCCGAAUUGAUUAGGAAAAUGCUGCUGUAAAUCACAGACAAAAGCAAGUGAUCCUCUGACAUUAUUCGUGCCGAUUUGUUACGCGUGGGUAUCUGUUCCAGAACAAGCAAAUCGGCGAAGAUGACUGCGCUUAAAUUUCAUUGGCUUAUUAGAAAAUGAGUUUUCAUACCGACCAACUUGUUACAAUCGGUAUGAAGCAGUAGCGCGUUUGACAUCGCUCUGUAAGGAUACUUGUGCCAAUUUUUUUUCGGCCACAGAUCCAAAAUUACAAAAAAAGAAAAAAAACAUAAUAAUUUUAAAAUACAAGAAAAUAAAAUUUUAUCACUUAUUUUAAUUUUUUUUUAUGUAAGAAAUAUU